Molecule: non-coding RNA, 213 nt
Organism: Pelobates cultripes (western spadefoot toad)
Lineage: Eukaryota; Metazoa; Chordata; Amphibia; Anura; Pelobatidae
Source: the annotation of a GenBank genome assembly
CAUACCCAUCAGCUCCGACAAGAGAAAAUAAUUAAUAACAUAUAACAUAACAGCAACAAGGGAGGGUGGGUAGGAAGCUGUUACCAAGCUGUUAUUUCUAAGAUGGCUGAGGUCAAAGGGCAAAAUGCCUGCCUAUUUAUAUGGCCCAACCCCUUAUCCAUUUCCUUGAACACUCCCCUAUUUUACACCUACACUCACACAUGCCUCUUAUCC